GACCCAGACUCCUACGGGAGGCAGCAGUGGGGGAUAUUGCACAAUGGGGGAAACCCUGAUGCAGCGACGCCGCGUGGGUGAAGAAGCGCCUCGGCGCGUAAAGCCCUGUCAGCAGGGAAGAAAAUGACGGUACCUGAAGAAGAAGCCCCGGCUAACUACGUGCCAGCAGCCGCGGUAAUACGUAGGGGGCAAGCGUUAUCCGGAUUUACUGGGUGUAAAGGGAGCGUAGACGGCUGUGCAAGUCUGAAGUGAAAGCCCAGGGCUCAACCCUGGGACUGCUUUGGAAACUGUGGAGCUAGAGUGCUGGAGAGGUAAGUGGAAUUCCUAGUGUAGCGGUGAAAUGCGUAGAUAUUAGGAGGAACACCAGUGGCGAAGGCGGCUUACUGGACAGUAACUGACGUUGAGGCUCGAAAGCGUGGGGAGCAAACAGGAUUAGAUACCCCCGUA
RNAcentral lists this ribosomal RNA (447 nucleotides) under uncultured bacterium. Its description in RNAcentral is "bacterial SSU rRNA". It matches the Rfam family "Bacterial small subunit ribosomal RNA", at positions 328 to 792 of the family's 1533-position model. The record is from RNAcentral.